Bombus huntii is the source of this 4201-nucleotide long non-coding RNA. RefSeq lists it as uncharacterized. Lineage: Eukaryota; Metazoa; Arthropoda; Insecta; Hymenoptera; Apidae. The record is from RefSeq and is a predicted model, not a curated record. The transcript is spliced from 3 exons.
AGAAGGCGAUCAGUCGAGCCACAGAGCUCUCCGGCACACCAUCCGCGAUCGAAUUGUUCCUCGUUUCUCUGUAGUUUCUCUAUCGUUUCUCCGGCUCCAUUCAGUUUCCGGUCAUUCCUUCUUUUUUUUAUCCUUGUGCGAUUUGUAUUUGGCGUAGGUAUCUCUGGAAUGUAUCUGGAAUUUUUAGUUGUUCUUGGUGGAUGUAGACGCGUGGAAAAUUGUAUGCUAGAUGGCGCGAGAUGGAACUUUCUUCGCAAACGGUGGGUGUGAGUGUGCACGUUUAAGUGUGAGUGUGCACGUAGAAGUUUAAGGUGGAUGGAUAUGAGGUGGGUGAUACUUGUUGUCGGAAGAGAGGAUUUGCGGUGAUUAUUUAUCCUUUCCAGUCGAAAACCUGACUCUCAAAACUCAGUCAGACAACCAAUUAGCAAAGAGAGGAUCCUAACCUUACAGAGGGCUGAAAGCUCGCUUACAACUCAGUUCGAGCUCCAAAAACGGAAAAUCGCGAGCGAGACGGUGAAAGAUAAAAACGAAGACGCUUGGUCGACGGCAAAAGGAAUGCCGAGGAGAGGCACCGAAGAGAGGAGAGACGGAACAGACGGCGAGAGAGCAACCUCGCCAUACACUCGUAUAAAGAAGAAGGGCAAAACGAGAGGAGCAUCAUAUGGAAAAGAGGGAGGACGGGUUAAGGAGGUAGCGCGGGAAGAAGGUUCGUACAGCCGAAUCGAGGAUGUAGACAGGAAGGAUGUUCGUCGAGUGCCAUCGACUUAACUCGUGGUAUGGCACAGCGAGCACGAGCCCAUCCUCUUCGGGGCUCUGAAGAGAGCCAAGCCGGCAUAAUAAGCUUUGUGCGCCGACUGUCGACGUCGGAUUCCCACUCACGAAGGGCUGAAGAGGCCAGCCGGAAGCGGCUGCAUCGGCAGCAGUAGCGACAACGCCGAGGAGCACCGGUAACAGAAACCUUUGCCUGCGCGGGAGUUUGCCCAUACGCGAGAACAUCCGAAGAAUCGAGCAUCUGCUUGUGAAACCAGUCCACCUCUCACGGCGAAUGCUCCCGCCCUACGUAGACAUCGCUGUGCUCCCUCGCGGCACAUACGCGUGGCAAAAGAGGCAGCGAAGAAGCGGGUAACGCCAUUGUGGCAGAAAAAUGGAAGUUCCUAAUAGAGAUUUCCAUGCACUCGGCAUUCCAUGCAGGGGUAGUAGGAGGGUUGAGAACACUGCAAAAGAGCGAUAGAGAGAGAAGGAAAGAAGAAACAUCGAGGAGGAGACACGUGUGUGUUAGACAGAGACGAGCAACAGGGAGAUAAAAAGAAAAAGCAGCAGUGGAAGGGGUGGUUCGAGGCGAGGAAGGCUGCUCGAAAGGAGAAAUAUCCGCGAGUAGUUAACAGCAACGACAUUCGAGUCCGCAGCUGGCUCGCACCGCGAAUGAGAUGGAUGGCGCGUAGAAUGCAGAUCGUUGGAAGGGAUGCGGAUGGACAGACGGACGGAUGGACCAGCGAAGGGUUGCGAGCGCGAAAGGGACGUGGCGGUGCAUCGACGUGCUCGGUGCAGCCCUAUAGGCGACUAUACGCGGACGCGCCACUAUUGGGGUGCAGCCAGAGUGGUGGCACGGGGCGGAGCGAUGCCGAUAGGAGGGUUGCAGCCGGCCUCUUGCCGGCUGCUUUUUCGGAGGGUUGGAUCAGCGCGACGCUCGAUGCGCGUUGCGAACCACAGACUCGACGACAUGCAACCACCAGCACCUACGAAUAGCCAGCCGUGGAUCGAGCUCGAUGCACGCAGCUCCUUUGAUUUCUUCGUCUUUAUCGAGAUCGUACUAUGAUCUUUCCCCGCUUUGAGAUGGGAAGAUAAAGAGUUAUGAAAUUUGGGUUAAGGGUAGUAGGGUGCAUGCAGUUUGGUGCGCGACUAUACUCACGCACUUGUUGUGAAAUUUUAUUUGUUUAUUUUUGUUGUGAGUAAGAGUCUAUGAAUAACUUGGUGAUACGAGAACUUCACUUGGGUAAUAAAAAGAAAAAAGUAAUUGAAUAGUGUAGAUUUAAGGGGUGCAUAGACGAUUCUGAGAAUUUUUUUGUUUGAUUAAGAUUGCGAUUUAGAAAUUUAAGAUGGUAUAAAGUCAAAGAUUAUGAACUUAUGGAUAUGGAGGAAUGUUUGAAAACUGUUUAACUUUGUUGUAUCAUAAGAAACAAUCACCUUGUUCAAUUUUUCUAUCUUGGGACCGUGUCGAAAUAUUCCAUCACACUUUGUGAGGCUAACAAUUUUACUAGUAAUUAAUCCAUGAUACUAAGUUGUUUAAACUCUUUUUUUCUCUCUCUAGAUUCAAUUUCUUUUCUGUAUACCGAUCAUAAAAUUAAAUAUCGUAUCAGUAUUAUGUAUAAUUUUAAGUAACCUUGAAAUUCUCUAGAAUUCCGUUCACCAAGUCACCGACAGCGGAGAAAUUUUCUGAAAUAAGCACGUUAUAUGCUCAUAGAGGAUCGAUUUAAACGGGCGUUCGCGUUCAUUGAAAAUGUAAAUUGGGCGCGCGGCGAUUGACGAAAUAAUCGCCCAAAGGAAUUUAAUUACAUCGACGUUUCGCGGCUGCUCGUGUCGGAAGGACGCGUCGUUUAUUUUAUAUUUAUUUUUCCUUCGCUUUUUUCUUUUUUUUUUUUUUCGAUGCUUCGUACCAACAAGCAAAGGUUAUAGGUGGUGCACACGCACACGUUAAUGAGAAAACGGGGCGCGCGUAAUUUACUGGCGAGGAGAACAGCCAAAGAGGGAGGACAGAGGAAAGACGUGUAAUAGACAUAUUACUCUCAAUAUAGCCUAGGGUUACUUGGCGUGGGUUAAUUCGAUGUUUAAGUGCGUGUAUAGUGAUAUUAUAACCCAUCGUAAUUAUUACUAUUAUUCCGUGCUGUGAGUGCUGGCAUUUUCGAUACUCGACAUCGUUGCUUUCGACGGAAGAGUUGAAAGUGUCGUGAUUCCAACGUGUUUUCGAUUUUUGUGUAUAUUAUUAAAAAGAGGACUGCGCUGAUCUUCCGUAUUAUGGGAGGAGAGGAUUAAUUUACGUUUUUAUCAUCCCCUGUUUUCCGUGCUGUAUUUUCCAAUGAUUUGGUAGAUGUAUUAUAUGUGUAUGAUGAGCUUCGGUGCGUGUAUUUGACACGAAAUUCUGGAUACUGAUUGUAUUAUAUUUAUUCUACUUAUUAUGACAAGAUGAAUGAAGACUAGGAUUGAAGAGAUUCGUGAAUGUCAUUAUACCUUAUGAGCGCACUGAAAUUCUUGAAUAGUUUUUAAGGCGCGUUACAUUUUAGUUAUGAAAGAUCAAUCUGAAUUAAUCAUAUAGCAAAGUAUUAAGAAUAGCAAAUAUAAUUGAUGAAAUACGUAAUUUAUAGUGUCAUAGAAACUUUAUUCGUUACCUGAUUCUUGCUACAACAUGAAUCUGAAACUAUCCAAAUAUUAUCUUUUACCCUGUUCAAACUAAUCUCAGAUAUUAUAUUUGUGUAUGGUAUUGUUAUACGAUAAAGUUUUAUUUAAAAACGAACAAUAAAAUUAUUUGCAAUCAAUCCUUUAACCCCUUUGAACGAUAGAUGUUUCAAAAAUAUCUGUAGAUAAUAAGACACGUGUUCAAUGAAAUUCGCGAAACAUGCAUCUUGAUCCUCGUUCCACGAACGCAUUCACGGUUCCUACAGUUAAAUCGGGUUUCAAUCUUAAACGGCAUAGUCGGCAAUCCGACCGCGAGGCUGACACGUGCGACUCUAUCCAUCUAGAAAAAAUUCGAUUCGACGCAAGAACGUUUUUUGGAUUAGCCCGAUACCAGGCGAUCCGGUCAGAGAGUCGUAAUUUUAAACAUCUGACAUCGCCACGCGUGUCAAAUCACAAAGGCGCCUUUCCAAAUGGUUGCGUAAAUUCGCGUGGCGAACAUGGCCGUGUAAACGACAACGAUUCGUUCGUGGUGGAUGGUUCACUCGUAGAACGCUUUUAAAAAGAAGACAAUAAAAAGAAGAAAAGGAGUUUCGUUUGUCAGGAAAAGUUCUGUAGUUUCAAUUUAACGCAAAAUUUAUCUCUCAUUCAACAUCAUUUUUUUAUUUCAGAUAUAUUUUUGAUCACCAUACACGAACGCCUUUACAAAUUCGGAAUUCUCUAUCUCUAAUGACUGUUAAAAGAAGAACGAAUUGCAUUUAAAGCGCGUAAGGAAUAAGAGGGAUAAAAAAUGAGAUCAGUUUAUUCUUUUAUC